AUUGAACGCUGGCGGCAGGCCUAACACAUGCAAGUCGAGCGGAUGAAGGGAGCUUGCUCCUGGAUUCAGCGGCGGACGGGUGAGUAAUGCCUAGGAAUCUGCCUGGUAGUGGGGGAUAACGUCCGGAAACGGGAGCUAAUACCGCAUACGUCCUGAGGGAGAAAGGGGGGGAUCUUCGGACCUCACGCUAUCAGAUGAGCCUAGGUCGGAUUAGCUAGUUGGUGGGGUAAAGGCCUACCAAGGCGACGAUCCGUAACUGGCCUGAGAGGAUGAUCAGUCACACUGGAACUGAGACACGGUCCAGACUCCUACGGGAGGCAGCAGUGGGGAAUAUUGGACAAUGGGCGAAAGCCUGAUCCAGCCACGCCGCGUGUGUGAAGAAGGUCUUCGGAUUGUAAAGCUCUUUAAGUAGGGAGGAAGGGCAGUAAGUUAAUACCUUGCUGUUUUGACGGUACCAACAGAAUAAGCACCGGCUAACUUCGUG
RNAcentral lists this ribosomal RNA (484 nucleotides) under uncultured bacterium. RNAcentral's name for it is "partial 16S ribosomal RNA". It matches the Rfam family "Bacterial small subunit ribosomal RNA", at positions 30 to 507 of the family's 1533-position model. The record is from RNAcentral.